Molecule: long non-coding RNA, 2162 nt
Filed under: Triticum aestivum (bread wheat)
Lineage: Eukaryota; Viridiplantae; Streptophyta; Magnoliopsida; Poales; Poaceae
Description: long non-coding RNA (TAES_LNC025769)
Source: RNAcentral
UUCAUUUUGAUUCUUGGUAAGUACUUCCUGGAAUCAAACUCUGAAUUGACCUCAACAUCUCUUUUUUACUUUGAUAGCUCUUUCGAAGUGCUGAAAGAACCGGGCAAUGUCUAAAUCUGAUUUCAGAUGAUGCUUUAAGUCAUUGUUGAGACUCUCACUUAGCUGCGUGCUCCGCAUACCCAAGGUAAAUGCAUUUUUCAUGAAAUAUUCUGCCCACUUCUCUUUUACUUUGUAAAUGCUAUCGAACCAAGUUUGUGUUGGCACUUGAGCCCUCAUAUUUUCAAAUGCUUCCUCAAAUUCUUCUUGGUGCACAUGUUGAUACAUGCAAGCACUGAAAUCUGCAAGAAGAGUUGAUUCUUUGUCCAUAUAACUAGAUAAAUGUUUGACCGCAUUUUGCAUAAUGUGGAAAGUACAUAAUCCGUGGCGUGUUUCCGGAAAAACAUACCCAACUGCCUUUCCCAUUGCACAGUCUUGAUCAGUAUAUAUGGUUCUAGGAUGCUUCUCACUGUGUGCUAAUAAGAAAGAAUCAAACAACCAUUUAAAAGAUUCAAAUGUAUCAUCAUACAGGAGAGAAGCACCAAAGAUAACAGUUUCUCUAAAAUGGUUGAAUCCAACGAACACACCCAAUGGCCGAUGUUCCUUAUUUGUUCCAAAAGUGGUGUCAAAGGUCGUGACAUCACCAAAAUGAGCAUAAUCAAUUAUCAUCUUAGCAUCAGCCCAAAAAAUGUUUGUUAUUUUUUCAUCACAGUCCAGCUGUAAAACAUAUUUGAAUGCUGGAUUCUCUGCAGCUCUGUCUUGAAAAUACUUCAACAUGCUACCCGCUUCACCAUACUUAAGGUCCCUUUGACGCUUAGUUCUCAAAUGAUUCUUAUGAUCCCGAGGAGUGUAGCUCAGAUUAGAUGAUCCACCAACCCGUCGACUAGCAAACUCAUGAGCAGCUUUUGGUGCAAUACCAGAGUAAUCAGCACAUUCAAUUUCAAAAGCCUGCAUGUUAGAGAUCACUCUCUUUGAUAGCAGUAGGUGGGAUGCUUCUGGCAGUUGAAGUGUGUGAUUGUGUUCAAGAAAAAGAUCAGAUAUUGCCCAAUUACCAACUUCACGAUUUAUUGAAAGGGGCAUACGAACUCUACAGUCAAUUCUAGUCUCAGCUCUUGGAUUCUUAACAACAUUAUCUCUUUUGUCUACUGCCUUUUUACCCUCUUUGAAACAAACAUAUUUGCAGGAGGUGACCUUCUGAUCAAAUUUGCUUAUGUUUUUAUACCUUUGACUGAUGCUGAACCCCAUCCUUCCUCCAUAAUAUCCCCAAAAGUUCCAAGCCUCAUCUAGGGUGUUGAACUUCAUGCCAAGCUGAGGUAUCCAAGUAGGCAAUACAUUUUCUCUGUAGAAUGCACAAGUGCAGAAAAUAGUGUCACUCAUUUGCAAAAAUAGAGAGGAAUCCAACACAAAAUAAAAAAUGUUAUUCUCACUUACUUGUUUGAAUCUGCUUCUGCUUGGUUCUCCAUUAGAGAUUGACUCCAAUAAUUUGAAUUCUUAGCAGAUCUAAGACCUGUACUUGGUUCUUCCAAUCCGGACACUCAUGCAUGAAGAAAUGUGAGAAAGAACAAGAAAAAGUGAGGGAGGAAGGAGAGAAGUGUGGGAGCUGUGGUCCUAGGAAGAAUGUAUGGGAGGUGUGGUUCUAUUUUGGCGGUAAAGUGAGCAGAGGCUUUCAUUUUCCCUCCAAAACAGAGCAGCGGUGGAAGUAGUACAAAACUGUAGCAAAGAGUAGUACUGGGAAAAGGAGAGCCAUCGGAUCUGAUUUGUGCGGUGGAUAUGGGCUAUGUUAGGCUCCUAACUUGGCAAGAGGCAAGUUAGAGGAGCCGGCUCCGCAUUCUUGCACCUGCUAGUAUACGUCAGCCAGCACUUUUUAUUUGCUAGCAAAUACGGGUACCAUGCAGCGGCCUCUUCUACAAAAUACAGCCAAAUACAGUAGUUGGAUACCUGCUUGGCAUGGAUCACGACGAGCACUAAUGGGGCUGAUUCCGGCCUGCAGGUAGCUCGGCCACCAAAGACCAUUUUCGACUACCACACAAACAACAUAUAUGUACUACUAUGUUUCUAAGUAUAAAACCUUUUCGAUAUUUCAAUACGAGAUGUAUAUAGACAUAUUUUCAAAUGUAGAUUCAUUU